RNAcentral lists this ribosomal RNA (254 nucleotides) under uncultured bacterium. RNAcentral's name for it is "partial 16S ribosomal RNA". It matches the Rfam family "Bacterial small subunit ribosomal RNA", at positions 524 to 776 of the family's 1533-position model. The record is from RNAcentral.
UACGAAGGGGGCUAGCGUUGUUCGGAUUUACUGGGCGUAAAGCGCACGUAGGCGGAUCGUUAAGUCGGGGGUGAAAUCCUGGAGCUCACUCCAGAACUGCCUUCGAUACUGGCGAUCUUGAGUCCGGAAGAGGUGAGUGGAACUCCUAGUGUAGAGGUGGAAUUCGUAGAUAUUAGGAAGAACACCAGUGGCGAAGGCGGCUCACUGGUCCGGUACUGACGCUGAGGUGCGAAAGCGUGGGGGAGCAAAACAGG